Dermochelys coriacea (leatherback sea turtle) is the source of this 3416-nucleotide long non-coding RNA. RefSeq lists it as uncharacterized. NCBI's taxonomy places the organism in Eukaryota, Metazoa, Chordata, Testudines, Dermochelyidae. The transcript has 3 exons. The record is from RefSeq and is a predicted model, not a curated record.
CAUGCCGGAUGCGACCCCUGCAGCAAUGGCUGGCGACAGUCUACUCCCAGUCCAGGGACCACCUGGAGAAGGUAGUCACCAUCCCUGUGAUGGUACUUACCUCGCUGAGAUGGUGGACCAAACCCAGGAAAGUCCUGGAAGGAGUUCCCUUUGUCAGCACUCCUCACUCAGUCGAGUUGGUUUCAGACGCCUUGGACCUCAUCUGCAAGGUGCACCUCGGCACCCUCCAGACCCAAGGUAUGUGGUCCCCAGAGGAAUCGACAUUAUACGUAAGUGUCAAAGAGCUCAGGGCAGUGUGCAGAGCAUGCACAGUCUUCCUACCUCACCUGUUGGGCAGAGUGAUCAGAGUCCUCACUGACAACACAGCCUCGAUGUUCUAUAUCAACAGGCAAGGUGGAGCAUGAUCCUCAGCCCUUUGCCAAAAGGCACUCCGCCUCUGGGACUUCUGCAUCAACCACAGAAUCCUCCCCAAGUGGAUUUGUUCGCCACCAGGCAAAACAAGUGAUGUCACAGGUUUUGCUCCAGAUGGCGUCUGGGCAAGGGCUCCCUCUUCAACACCUUCCUCCUGCCAUGGGCAGGAAGCCUGAUGUAUGCAUUCCCUCCAAUUCCACUCAUCAGCAAGCUCCUAGCGAAAAUCAAAAGGGACAAAAUGCAGGUUAUCAUGAUUUCCCUGGUGUGGCCUCGCCAGCACUGGUUUGGGACGCUAUCAAGCUUGUCAGCGAUCCCUCCCUGGCCCCUGCCGAACUGGCUGGUCCGACAGGAUCAUGGCCGACUCUUGCACCCCAACCUCGCAUCCUUCCACCUCAGUGUGAAUGUUGCGUGGCUGAACCCAGAUGAAUGGGCCUGUUCGGACAGGCUCUAGAAGGUCCUCCUUGGGAGUAGAAAGCCCUCGACUAUGCAGACCUACCUGGCAAAGUGGAUGAGGUUCUCCCGCUGGGCAGCCAAAUGGGGUAUCUCCCCUUCGCAUUCUUCGGUGCAGUCGAUCUUGGACUACCUGCUUCAUUUAAGGAACUAGGGCCAGGUGCGCUCCUCUAUCAGGGUACAUCUGGCUAUUUCAGCCUUUCACCUGCCAAUCCAGGGGCAGACUGUUCUCCCAUGACAUAACUGUCAGGUUCCUUAGAGGCCUCGAGAGGCUCUUUCUUCAAGUGCAGUCCCCGACCCCUUAGUGGGAUCUCAACUUGGUUCUGUCCAGGCUCACGGGCCUGCCCUUUGAGCCUUUGGCCUCAUGCUCCCUGUCUCACCUAUCAUGAAAGGUAGCUUUCCUGGUGAUGUCAGCGAGGCGAGUCUCUGAGCUGCGACCCCUGACCUCAGAACCGCCGUAUACUGUCUUCUAUAAGGACAAGGUCCAGCUCCGGCCCCACCCAGCCUUCCUCCCCAAGGUAGUGUCCGCUUUCCAUAUGAACCAGGACAUCUUUCUUCCGGUCUUCUGCCCUAAUCCCCAUGAGAUUCAUGGAGAGGUGCUUUCAUGCUUUGGACAUAAGAAGGGCUCUGGCUUGCUACCUAGAUCGGACAAAACCCUUUCUGUAAGUCGACUUAGCUUUUCAUCUCUACAGCCGAUAGAAUGAAGGGUCUCUCAGUGUCCACACAAAGGAUUUCUAACUGGAUCACCUCUUGCAUUCGGACCUGCUAUGAGUUAGCGAGAGUCCCUCUGCCAACGAUCAUCAGAGCCCACUUGACUAGAGCACAGGCAUCCUGUGUGGUCUUCCUGGUAUACGUUCCGAUCCAGAACAUCUCUAAAGCCACAACGUGGUCCUCGGUACACACGUUCAUGACCCACUAUGCCAUCGCUCAGCAGGCCAGGGAUGAUGCUGGGUUUGGCAGAGCUAUAUUGCAAUCUACAUGUCUGUGAACUCCUUACCCGCCUCCAGGGGUACUGCUGGGAGUCACCUAAGUUUAAUGGACAUGAGCAAUCACUCGAAGAAGAAAAGACAGUUACCUUUUUCCAUAACUGGUGUUCUUUGAGAUUCAUUACUCAUCUGCAUUCUACGACCCGCCCUCCUCCCCCACCGGAGUUUCUGGCAAGAAGGAACUGAGAGUGGAGGAGGCCGGGGGCGCCCCUUAUACAGCGGCAUAUGCGCGCCACUUCAAGGGGCACCAGAGCCGGUCCUCUAUGGAAACUGCUGAGGGAAAAACUUCCAGAACCAGAGCACGUGGCAAGCACACACACCUAAGUUGAAUGGACAUGAGCAACACAUCUUGAAGAAUACCAGUUACGGAAAAAGGUAACUCUUUUCUACCAUUACCUGUCUUUCCCUGCAAGCAGCAGCCAAAAGUACAUUUAACAUAGCCAUUCCCAGUAAAUCUAAGUCUACCACAAAGCAGUUGUAGACCAGUGUCUUUCUAAAUAAUACCUUAUCCUGUAGUCAUUUAAUAAGGACUAGCAGAGGAAUUUAUCAUGUAUCGGUUAAUCUUUUGUCCACUGCCCUCCUCUGAGGGCAAGCUUAUAACAGAUUUAUGCAAAAUCAGAAUGUUUUUGUCACAAAAUCAGAGAUGAUGGAAAUUUUUCAAAUUUCCAAAAUUCCUUUGAAUUUUUUUUAAUGAAACACUUUCCCCAUUUUUUGUUUUGGACCAGCUCUAUCCCAAGUCAUAUGACGUUAUUCCAAUGAUGUGUGUCUUUGCCAUCUGAUCUCAGCCUAGGUUCUUUGUGAGGGUUAAGAAUCAUGACCUUGUGUCAAUUUAUGAUUUCACACUGCAACUGGGAAAAACUUGUCAUUUCACAUAGUUUUGAGGCAAAACCAGCUGAAGCACUACAAUGUUUUGAUUUGUUUCACUAAUGGAUGUAAGACUGGCGAAGGAUUCUUACAAGAUUCAAGAGUGCGAACCCAUGUGAAAUGAAACCAAAUAAGAUUCACGUGAACCUUUCCAAACUUCCAGUUGAUUAUAGGCCAGUUUUGCACAGCACUUAUACACUGUUUGGCCAGAGGAUACCAGACAAAACAAAGAUAAAACUGAAGCUUCUCCACUCCUCUCUGGUGAGGACAAGCCUGGAAUGGUCCACAGGCCUGCCAGUCUGACUUCACUCCUAAUUACCACUGUCCUGUCAGUUUGAUUUGUAUGGGAAGGGAGCCCUGAGGGGGAAGCAUGGGUGUUUUUCAUCACCACACUGAUUCCAGCAGAAUGUUAAGAGAUUUCCCUGUCACAGGGAAUGCUUCAUGGACAACUUCAGAAAUGAGUCAGAGAAGUCCUAAGCAAGCAGCCCCUGCCAGUGCAGGAUGGUUCCCUAAGCUAUGUAACCUACUGUUCUAACCCACCCCUCCAUUCUAGGCUGUCCUUUGCCCUGCCCUGGAACCCAUCUGCCUGGGGCGACCCAUCCAUAUAGGCAAACUAGGCAGUCACCUAGGGUGCCAAAUUAAAUGGGGCACUAAAUUUGAGGGAAAAAAAUCAAAUUAAAAAAAAUGGAAAAAGAUGAAAAAAAU